This is a small nuclear RNA of Rhinolophus ferrumequinum (greater horseshoe bat), 104 nucleotides long. Lineage: Eukaryota; Metazoa; Chordata; Mammalia; Chiroptera; Rhinolophidae. The record is from Ensembl.
GUGCUCGUUUCAGUAGCACACAUAUUAAAUUUGGAAUGAUGCAGAGAUUAGCAUGGCCCCUGCACAAGGGUGACACACAAAUUCAUGAAGUGGGCCAUAUUUUU